Molecule: non-coding RNA, 26 nt
Filed under: Rattus norvegicus (Norway rat)
Lineage: Eukaryota; Metazoa; Chordata; Mammalia; Rodentia; Muridae
Source: RNAcentral
UCUCAUAUUCCAGAGCCCGUGGUGAC